AGCUACAUAUUAAAGAGAUUUAUUUAUAUAAAUAGGCUUGCUAGCUGAUUGUAUAUAUAUGCUGGCCGUAUUUCAUAGCAAGCUCGCUUUUAAUAGGCAACCAGUAAUAUGAGCAAUUCUUUACCUACAAGCCUAUAAUUAUAUUAACUCUAAGAGAAAUCUAAUAAUAAACGGAGUGAAUUGAAAUAUCUUAUUAACUUCAGGAAAAGAAAUCAAAAGAGAUUCUAUGAUUAGCGUGAGCUAAAAUAGAGUAGCCUAGAAAGUCAAAUGGUGGAUAAACUGUUUAAAUUUAAUGGGGAACCUUCCUCAAAGGCUAAAUAUAAUAUGUAAGCGAUAGUGGAAAGUACCGUGAGGGAACCAAAACAAAAACAGUGAUUUUAUAAGCAGUUCGGAAAAAUAAAAAAGUUAGAACGUACCUUUUGCAUAAUGGGUCACCAAGUUAACAUUAGAUGCGAGAUUCUACGUAGUUAAACCGAGCGUUAAAAUAACGGUAAGUGUCUAAAGUUAGACCCGAAGCCUGGUGAUUUUACCAUAAUCAGGAUUAUAAAAGUCCGAACGGAAUAUUGUAGCAUAAAUAUCCGAAGAAUUAUGGUAGGUGUAGUGAAAGACAAUACUGACCAGGAUAGCUGGUUUUCUGCGAAACCUAUAACAGUAGGCAAUUUAAGUAUAAUAUCUUAGCAGGUACAGAAUUUAAUCUCAGACAAGACAUAAGGCUUAACUUGUUAACAAGUUAAGCCCAUGUUUUAUUUUGUACAAAUUGGGGGAUCAUGAAGAUUUUAUCAGUGAGUAUGUAGACUCGGAAUGGCAAAGAUAUAUCUUAAAUCAUCAGACAUAGAAUGAUAAGGUUGUAUGUCAAAAGGGAAACAGCCCAGAACAAGAGUUAAGGUUCCUAAAUUAUUAGUUGAGUGAAAUUAAGAAGGUUUUUAUUAAAGUCGACAAGGAGAUAGGCUUAGAAGCAGCCAUAAUUUUAUGACCUCGUAACAGAGCGCUUGUUAAGUUUUAAAAGCAUCGAAAAUUUAUCGGAUCUAAACAAUAUACCGAAACCUUGUCCAUAUUAUUUUAUAAUUAAUAGUCUCAGCAAGCUCGGACUAUACAAUUAUAAUUAAAUGGGGUAGCAGAACGUUGAGCUAAAUUAAGAUUUUUAUUUUUUAAAUGAAAUUAUAAUAAUUUAACUCAAGUGAUAAUGGUGACAUGAGUAACUAAAAGAAAAUUUUCCGCCUAAAGCUUAUGGAUGUAAUUAAGUAACGGCCUCUAAGUUUAUGGAAUCAAAAGAUUAAAACGAUGAGACAAUCUUUCAUACUAAGGACGACAUUUUAAGUGCAAAAUGUACUGGAAAAAUAGUAAUAAGUUUAAGCUAUGGCUAGAACUAGCUAUAGCUGUAAAUGGAAAGUAACCGUACCUAGAAUCUGAAACAAGUAAGCUAGUAGAGAAUACGAAGGCGUAAAUGAGCUAACAAUCAUAAAGGAACUCGGCAAAUUGACUACCGUAACUUCGGGAUAAGGAGAGCUCAUUAUUCUUGAUUAAUAUCAGGUAAAGAGGAAGAAGCAUGAAAUAGUGUUGUACGACUGUUUAAUUAAAACACAGCACUUUGCUGAAAGAUUAAAAAUCUAAGUAUAGAGUGUGAUGUCUGCCCGGUGCCGGCUGGUUAACAGAUAUAAUUAAAUAUACUAAUAUUUGAUGUAGACGGAAACCCCGGUUAAAGGCGGCCUUAACGUGAGGGUCCUAAGGUAGCGAAAUGCCUUGGCCGUUAAAUGCGGUCUUGCAUGAAUGAUGUAACGAUACAACAGCUGUCUCUAUGAUUGACUCAGUGAAAUUGGAAUAGCUGUGCAGAUACAGUUUACCUCUAGUUAGACGAGAAGACCCUAUGCAGCUUUACUGUCACUAAUUAUAGAGUAUGAUAAACAAUUUUCAGUUUAUAAGGUAAUUGACGGCCGGCUUGCUUAGCAAGCUGGCUCUAUGACAAUGAGAAUCCUUUAUUUUUUUUUCAUAUGAAUGAAUUGGUUUAGGACGAGCUUAAGCUCGUAGUAAAUCAACCUAAUUCAGCUUAUUUUCCUUUCUGCUGUAAGCGCAUAAUGAUAGAUUAUACUUAAAUUUGGAUUUAUGCCUGCAGAAAUAGAUAAGUACCCUUGGUUAAGGAACUAUCGCUAGGGGACAGUUUAUGUGGGGCACAGACCCUGUAAAGAGUAAACAGGAGUGUCUAAUAAUUUAUAAUUAUUUUGUUUGCGAUUUAAGGUAGUAGAACUAUUUUUAAUCAUAUAAAAUUAUUUAUAUGUACAUUCGUUGUAUAUAUAUUUAAAAAAAGGUAGGAUUUUCACUAUAUAGAAAUUAGAGAUAAUAAAAAUAUUAAGUAGUAGCUGCUGAGUCCUAAUCCCGCCGAAGGGGGGAUAUGGACUACUAUGUAUUUCAUAGCAAGCUCGCACUAAUAUUUUUUAACUAUUAAGACUAGCUAUCUAGCUAUGCUCUAAUAGUUAUGUUUUAAUUAUCUAAAAAGCUCAACGGCUAAAUCUUGCCUUACUGUUUGAUUAUCAACAAAUCUUACAGUUGCGUAAGCAGGGCAUAGGAUCACAAGAUGCAACAAGGAAAGAUCUUGGAUUAUUGGAAAAGCUACGCUAGGGAUAACAGGCUAAUUUGCGCAAGAGUGUACAAAAUGAGUGCGCGGUUUGGCACCUCGAUGUCGGCUUAACUUAUCCUCAUGGAUGCAGGAACUAUGUAGGGUGCGACUGUUCGUCGAUUAAAAAGUUACAUGAGCUGGGUUAAAUACGUCGUGAGACAGUAUGGUUUCUAUCUUCUAGGGGGAAUUAGAAUAUAAUAAGAACUAACUUUUGUACGAAAGGAACAAGAAGAAUUUAAUUUGUAAAAGGGUUAAAUAAUAGUUACUAACCUAUGGUUUACCUGUUGUCUAUGUGCCCAAAUAUUAAAAUAUAGGAUAAAAAUUCUAUAUAUCUGUAUAGCUUUAGCUAUACAUAGGGAUGUUUCUUUCACUAAGAUAAAUAUAUAGCAUAGGCACGGCAGGAAAGCUAAGUUGGUUAAGGAUAAGUGCUGAAAGCAUAUAGGCACGAAGCUUAUCUUAAGAUAUUUCUUAAAUAUACGUAAAAUAUUAUUACGAAGGAUUAAUAUAGGCUUUAUCCGUACGAAUCUGGAGAUUUUUAAGAAUAAAGUACUAAUUUUAUAAAUAACUAUUUAU
RNAcentral lists this ribosomal RNA (3184 nucleotides) under Fusarium graminearum. RNAcentral's name for it is "16S ribosomal RNA". It matches the Rfam family "Bacterial large subunit ribosomal RNA". The record is from RNAcentral. Lineage: Eukaryota; Fungi; Ascomycota; Sordariomycetes; Hypocreales; Nectriaceae.